RNAcentral lists this long non-coding RNA (3513 nucleotides) under Capsicum annuum. RNAcentral's name for it is "long non-coding RNA (CANN_LNC004860)". Lineage: Eukaryota; Viridiplantae; Streptophyta; Magnoliopsida; Solanales; Solanaceae. The record is from RNAcentral.
AUGAUUCGUGGAUGGAUAUGAGCAUUGUUAUUGGGGUCCUGUGAUAUCAGAUGUGUGAAGAGCUACUUCUUCAGACGUAGUUGACACUGCUCUUCGUUUUUAGUCCUAUUCAAAAAUGGAAAAAGCUGAGCUAGAAAGCAAAGAGGCAUGUAACACGAGCAGGUUUAGUGGUGAAAAAAAAAAGAGUGGUUUUUUAUCACGGGCAGUGCAGGCCUGGUGCUAGUUAUUCUGGUGCUAGUUGAGCUACUACACAUCCGUAGAGAACUGCCACAGGUACAUAGACUAAGAUUCUAAGCUGCUCGGACUCUUCAAAAAUGUCAAUGGAUGCGUGUCAGAUACUCCAAAGAUAGGUAUUUUUGAAGGAUCCGACACGGGUGCGGCAACAUUUUUGGAGAGUUCGAGCAACUUAGCUAAGAUUCAUACAGCUAGGGCCGCUCGUAGACAGGGUCAACAAGGUGCACAAGUUGCUCAGGGAGCAGGUGGACCAUCGAAAUUAUUCCCUAUGGUCAGACAUGAUAUCAACACAUCUAAUGCAGUAGUCAUAGGUAUUAUCACUGUCAAUCUCGUGAGGCAUAUGCUCUUAUUGAUCCUGGUUCAACGUAUUCGUGAUCUCAAUUUUUUGCUAUAUCCUUAAAAUGAAAAAUCGAUUCUUUUAUUGUGCCAUAUAUAGUAAUGACCGCAGCAGUGAAACUUUAUCCGUGGAUAGACUAUAGGGUUUGGAGUAACUGGUAAAGUUGCUGCCAUGUGACCAGGUGGUCACGGGUUCAAGCCUUGGAAACAGCCUCUGGCAGAAAUGCAAGGUAAGACUGCGUAUGAUACACCCUUGUGGUGGGGCCCUUCCCCGAACACCACGCAUAGAGGUAGCUUUAGUGCACUGGGCUGCCCUUAGACUAUAGGGUUUAUAGAAACUGUGUGAUAGUUGUGCAAAAAUGGACACCAUCGUAGAUCCACUAGUGUCGAUGUCUGACUUUGAUGUGCUUAUGGGUAUGGAUUGGUUGGGGUUAUGUUAUGCUUUGGUUGAUUGCUAUGCUAAACUUAUACAUUUUGAUUUCCCCCCCCAAAAAAAAAAAAAACCUUUAGUGUGAAAAAACAUGACUCGCACAUAAUAUCUAAUGUAAAGGCACGCCAAAAUGAUUAAUCAUGGGUGUUCGAAUUUUAUUGCUAUCAUUCAUGAUACUCGAGCGAAAAUGUUACUAUUGACGGUGUUCCUAUUGUUCAAAAAUUUGUUGAUAUGUUUUCAAAAGAUUUGUCCCCGAUGUACUCAUAUUCAAAACAAAAAUCAGCUGAACUCUGACACGAUACAAAGUAAAAUUGGUUUGGAAAUAUCAAUCUUGCUUUACCUAAUUUGUGUUCUCCCAUUUUUAAUUAAUUUAUUCGUUGUACUAUAAACAUAAUCUAUACUUUAUGGCAUGUUAGGUCAGUAUAACUAAUAUAGGAUAAAAUAAAAGAAACUCAAAAAAGGAUCAACUAGACCAACGCAAAGUAGGCCACCAUAUAGUUGUAAAGGGUCGUGCACUAGGACCAAUCCCAUCCCUUUCUAAAAAUUACUGGCUCCAGACUUUUCCCUUAAGGAUGGAGCCAGCCUUGAACCAGACCAUGGCUCAUGUGCCAAAGAGAAAGUGAAGAUCCGCUAAUCAGGUGUAGGUCUAAGAAUUGCCGCUUACUGGUAGGCAGUGUUAUCAAAAAGCAAAAAGCACAAAAAAGCUCUAAGGUCCAUUGGGGCUUUAAGCACAAAUAAAGCAUGUGAUUUGAUAUUGUUUAGUCUCGCCAUUUGGGCAGAGGCUCACUAGAUGGAAAAAUAUGUCUUAGAGCCUUCGUUACAACACUGAAGCGCACGUUAAGUGAGGCGACACGCUCAACACGUUUUGUGCCUCGCUUCAGGGCAUAAGCACACCUUUGACGACACUGCUUUCAUGGGAAGCUGUUUGAUUCAAUCAAGGUCGCAGAGACUUUGAUACCAUGUGCAAAUAGAAAAGAAGCUAUUUGACAAUCAAGGUCACAGAGACUUUGAUACCAUGUGAAAAUAGAAAAGCUUCUCAAUUUACAAGAGGUAGAUCUUAAUUAAUCAACAUCAAUUGUCUGUGACAUAUUGGGAAGAAGAUACCCUUGGAAUGUGUACCAAAAAGUACUAAUCGAUUAUUUAAAUGGUGGAAGUGUGGUGGAAGUUCAAGGUUGGAUUGGAUAGAACUUAAUUAGGGUGUUAGCAAGAGGAUCUAGAUUGGUUUUUCCAUGAGAUAGCAGAAACGAGAUCAUUUUGAUUAGGAUCCACAACCUCUAUGUGCGCUUGGCUCAUCAUACUAAGGGUCAGCUAGGGGAAGAACACUUUAUAAUAGCAUCUCUGCCUAUGUUAGGAAAACUAUGUCAUCAACAAACUAUGUUAGAGAACCUGUUAUGGAAACUGUGCAAAUCUUAUAUAUAUCUACUUUUAAAGAUGAUUGAAGAAAGAAAAUUAACAAUAAACAUGAUUAAGAAGUAGAGGCAGUUGGGCAUCUAUACAACACAAAAGAUAUCAAAACAUUUACAAUGGAAGCUUAAAAACAAAAAUUUGAAGAAAAGAAAUUGUUGGGUUAUGCUUCGGGAGGAUAUAAGGAAGAAAGAUGUUUUCUAAGAGUAUUUUUAUACCUAAACUCAUGGAUUCUACUUCCACCUUUACUAUGGAACUGCAAAUUCUUACUAGGGAUGAUAACUUAGUACCAACACAGAAGCACAAUAGAUAAUCUAAGACCACCAUAAGUCAAAUUUCUAAGCUUAUUUCUCACACAAUUCGGCAAACCUCAGACAAGAUCUUUUUUUUAUGUGAUACUCGAACCAACAACCUUAAGUUCAGACGUGGAGGCGUUUUCCACUUGAGCUACCCUCUCGUGUCAAACAUCAGACAAGAUCUUAUCAAAACCUUUUCCACUCAAACAUUUCAACAAACCCACAAAACUCCUAAGUAUCUACACGAAUAUAAAGGAUUAUAUACCCCAAGACAGGUAAAUUAUUGAUAUUAAUUUUACAAUAAAGGAGAUAUUGCUAAAGGAGGGAAAGUGGGUAUCCUCAAGCCCAAAAACUAAGGAAAAAAGAACAAGACAUAAAUCACCUGCCCAAAAAUUACCGUUUUCAUUGAGGAAAGAGUAUAAUUCUACAACAUCGUGGUGCUACAGUAGAACUUUUUGGAUAUCAACGUAAAAUACACAGGGAAUGCAGAAAAAUAUCAAGCAGAGAACAAUAAUUAGGUGCAAUGAAAGCUUGCCUGUUCAGAGAGGUUGAGUCGUUGGCAGUUUUUCAAAGAACCCUGCUCAACUUUUGGAUCCCACUUAUUGUCAAAGAAAUAACCAUUAAUAUGACUCAUCGAUUUUUAGAACAAUCCCUUGAUUAGACCAAGAUCUUAGUGAGACAUCGACACCAAUCUUCAAAAGUUAAUACAAAAACAGGAUUGUUAUCCAUUUCAUUACACUCAGGCCAAACGCAGAGCUUAAGCACACUCCAUUUUUCUUCUAACAACUGAAGUGAUCAUUAUUUCAUUUUGAC